RNAcentral lists this transfer RNA (72 nucleotides) under Cephalotus follicularis. It matches the Rfam family "tRNA". From Rfam's summary of the family: Transfer RNA (tRNA) molecules are approximately 80 nucleotides in length. Their secondary structure includes four short double-helical elements and three loops (D, anti-codon, and T loops). The record is from Rfam by way of RNAcentral. Lineage: Eukaryota; Viridiplantae; Streptophyta; Magnoliopsida; Oxalidales; Cephalotaceae.
GGUUCCAUGGUCUAGCGGUGAGGACAUUGGACUCUGAAUCCAGUAACCCGAGUUCAAAUCUCGGUGGAACCU